AACGCGAAGAACCUUACCAGGUCUUGACAUCCUCUGACAAUCCUAGAGAUAGGACUUUCCCCUUCGGGGGACAGAGUGACAGGUGGUGCAUGGUUGUCGUCAGCUCGUGUCGUGAGAUGUUGGGUUAAGUCCCGCAACGAGCGCAACCCUUGUCCUUAGUUGCCAGCAUUCAGUUGGGCACUCUAAGGAGACUGCCGGUGACAAACCGGAGGAAGGUGGGGAUGACGUCAAAUCAUCAUGCCCCUUAUGACCUGGGCUACACACGUGCUACAAUGGAUGGUACAAAGGGUUGCGAGACCGCGAGGUUUAGCCAAUCCCAUAAAACCAUUCUCAGUUCGGAUUGUAGGCUGCAACUCGCCUACAUGAAGCCGGAAUCGCUAGUAAUCGUGGAUCAGCAUGCCACGGUGAAUACGUUCCCGGGUCUUGUCCACCAAG
This 435-nucleotide ribosomal RNA is filed under the name uncultured bacterium. RNAcentral describes it as "bacterial SSU rRNA". It matches the Rfam family "Bacterial small subunit ribosomal RNA", at positions 958 to 1387 of the family's 1533-position model. The record is from RNAcentral.